This 253-nucleotide ribosomal RNA is filed under the name uncultured bacterium. RNAcentral's name for it is "partial 16S ribosomal RNA". It matches the Rfam family "Bacterial small subunit ribosomal RNA", at positions 524 to 776 of the family's 1533-position model. The record is from RNAcentral.
UACGUAGGGAGCAAGCGUUGUCCGGAAUCAUUGGGCGUAAAGAGCGCGUAGGCGGCCCUGUAAGUCCGCUCUGAAAGUCAAAGGCUCAACCUUUGAAAGCGGGUGGAUACUGCAGGGCUAGAGUCCGGAAGAGGCGAGUGGAAUUCCCGGUGUAGCGGUGAAAUGCGCAGAUAUCAGGAAGAACACCUAUGGCGAAGGCAGCUCUCUGGGACGGUACUGACGCUGAGACGCGAAAGCGUGGGGAGCGAACAGG